GGGGGCGUUCCGGUUUCGACGGGAGCCCUUGCGCUUAGGAGGCAUGCCGGGGGUCCACACCACCCGUAAUCGGAGUGGGUCAAAGACAACUGCCAACACGCAGUAUGCCUACGCUGCCUAAUUAAUUAGGUGGCCGUCUCCUCCUUCAGGCCCGCAUGAUGGAACGAGGCGUCGAUUGGCGGGCUAGUUCGGGAUUCAACGCUUCGGGAUUCCGGGCGAGAUCCCCGCGAGGGGAAGGAGGCUAGCCGGCGGUCCGUUCUUGCCCGUUCCUGAGAACCGCGGGCGAAAGCAAGAAGCGAAUGGGCUAAGCAUGUAGGCUUCUCUGCGUAAGACUCUUCGGACGGGGGUUCGACUCCCCCCGCCUCCACGU
RNAcentral lists this transfer-messenger RNA (370 nucleotides) under Terriglobia. RNAcentral describes it as "JAIQGA01 sp020072925 Standard tmRNA". It matches the Rfam family "transfer-messenger RNA". Rfam says of the family: Bacterial tmRNA, also known as 10Sa RNA or SsrA, is named for its dual tRNA and mRNA-like properties. Its role is to liberate the mRNA from a stalled ribosome. RNAcentral also lists the same sequence under 1 other name. The record is from RNAcentral. Lineage: Bacteria; Pseudomonadati; Acidobacteriota.